CAGCCGUAAACAAUGUGCGUUAGGUAUGUCGGUAACCACGUGUUACUGAUGUGCCGAAGAGAAAUCGUGAAACGCACCACCUGGGAAGUACGGUCGCAAGGCUGAAACUUAAAGGAAUUGGCGGGGGAGCACCACAACAGGUGGAGCCUGCGGUUUAAUUGGAUUCAACGCCGGAAAUCUUACCGGGACCGACAGCAACAUGAAGGCCAAGCUGAAGACUUUGCCGGAUUAGCUGAGAGGAGGUGCAUGGCGUAGUCGUGU
RNAcentral lists this ribosomal RNA (261 nucleotides) under uncultured archaeon. Its description in RNAcentral is "partial 16S ribosomal RNA". It matches the Rfam family "Archaeal small subunit ribosomal RNA", at positions 748 to 1009 of the family's 1478-position model. The record is from RNAcentral.